Long non-coding RNA from Polyodon spathula (Mississippi paddlefish), 1491 nucleotides. RefSeq lists it as uncharacterized. The transcript has 2 exons. The record is from RefSeq and is a predicted model, not a curated record. NCBI's taxonomy places the organism in Eukaryota, Metazoa, Chordata, Actinopteri, Acipenseriformes, Polyodontidae.
UUAAUUUGUCCUGUCUUUGUGUUCAUUCCUUCCUGGUUCUGAUGUCACCCACUCGGCCGUCUUUGUGACAAGUACUUAUUCAGAAUACUCGUAUCCUAAAUAUUGAAGUAUGUGAACAAUUGAUUUGACUUACCAGAAACAUUGCUUUUAACAUUUUUAGAACAGCGCUUUAGUAGAUUUAUAACAUACAAUCUAACAAAAUAUGGAAGUCCGUAGUGUAUUUAGUUCAAACCCACUCAAAGGCUGUGCGCGAGAAGAAGCUGUUAAACUUAAAAUCUUUGUCAGAAACGUCAUAAAUUGAGAUUUUAAAGACUAUACACUGUCCUUUUAAUGCAAACUUAAUAAUAUCAUGUAUUUUGUUCACAGUCAAAAGAGGGAGAACCAGUUAACUAUGCUGCGGUGUCUGGUAAUGGCACAGAAGAUAAUUAAGACUUGUCAUUCCUCGUCCACUCUGAAUUCAAGAUCCUGUUUCAUAAAAAAACAUAAAAUCUUAACAUGAUAUAUUUUUUGUUUUAUUUUUGUUUGUAAAUGUGAUAGACAGAUAGACUAACUGGUGGCAGAUAGUUAAAUAACAAAGUCACUUUGGAUCAGUUGACUAUUUGCGAGAAUGUUUCAGGCUUCCUGACUCUUUCCUAACAGCUUAUUUUGUUACUCACACUAACAGCCAUUUUAUUGAAAUUCAUACCACCAUUUUGCUAUCUGCUGACAGUUUGUUAAAUGCCUUUGCAGUUAAAUUGACUUGUUUUGAGAUAUAUAAAUGUGUGUGUGUCUGCAAACCAAUAUAACCAAAGUUAUGAUGGAAAGCACCGCUUUCUGUCGUAAAUGUAUACACAAUGAAUUGUUUCCAGGGCCAUCCUUUUCAUCUAUGUCAGGGAAACUGUUAUUAAACCUGAUAGGAACCCAGUAUUAAAAUAUUAAACCAUACUGUUAAAAUUAAUGAUUCCUUUUUAAUUUUUUUGUGUUUUUUUAUUUGGUUUAAAACUUUUUGUUACCAAAGAGGCUGUUCUUUAAAUGUGUUUUUAAAGAGAAAAUGUUUAGCGGUGUUUUUCAACCUGUCUGGCUUUACUCGCAUAAAAGGCUGUAUUUUAAAGCUUUGUUACCCUAAUAACUAUAAUUAUUCUUUCUAUGUGCUUUAAGAAUAUAGACAAAAAUGCUUUGGUAUAUGUUGUGGUGGUGGUUUGUGAGAAAAAAAAAUGAAAUGCAUAUUAUGUUCAUAUACUUUAAACAGCUUUUGUGUAACUUUAAAACGAAAUAAACUGCUUUCUUUAUACAGAAACACAAAAGCAAACUUUGUAAAUUCAAUGACAAACACGAAAUGUCGUCAAUCUUUUAAAUCUUUUUUUUGUUUGUUUGUUUGUUUCUGUUUUGUUAAUAAAAGUGUUUUAUAUACACCUGUUUUGGCUGAGCACUGACCAAAAAAUAAAUAAAUGUGGCUUGUCUUAUGAAAAUGGUAAAAUUAAUAUGAGCAUUAAUAAUAAAAAGUGAAUGCUA